GAAAGGUCACUGGCUCAUAAGAGGAACAGGAUGCAGACUGCAGACUUCUGACUCUCAGCUAGCGUCCCUGCUCAUUCCCAAGGAAAUGGAAAGACACAAUGCUACUGUUAUUUGAAUGUUUAGGAGAAGGGUGGGUGGUGGUAAAAGGAAAUGUCUCACAAGCCCCACUGGCACUUGAUUUGUUGAAACUGUAAUAAUCACACUAUUAAUGGGUCUCUUUGGAAUAAUGCUUUUAGGAGGGCUUUUAUUGGCAUUAUUUGUUUGACAAAAUAACAUUGUGCACUUGAUGUCAUUAAACCCAUUUUACAGAUUGAGAA
RNAcentral lists this long non-coding RNA (317 nucleotides) under Homo sapiens (human). Its description in RNAcentral is "long non-coding RNA NONHSAT216458". The record is from RNAcentral. Lineage: Eukaryota; Metazoa; Chordata; Mammalia; Primates; Hominidae.